This 468-nucleotide ribosomal RNA is filed under the name uncultured bacterium. RNAcentral's name for it is "bacterial SSU rRNA". It matches the Rfam family "Bacterial small subunit ribosomal RNA", at positions 28 to 526 of the family's 1533-position model. The record is from RNAcentral.
GAUGAACGCUGGCGGCGUGCCUAAAACAUGCAAGUCGUGCGGUAACAGGGAGAGCUUGCUCUCUGCUGACGAGCGGCGGACGGCUGAGUAACGCGUAGGAACGUACCCCGAAGUGAGGAAUAACUGCCCGAAAGGGUGGCUAAUGCCGCAUGUGCUCUAUGGAGUAAAGCUUCGGCGCUUUGGGAGCGGCCUGCGUCUGAUUAGUUUGUUGGUGAGGUAAUGGCUCACCAAGACUACGAUCGGUAGCUGGUCUGAGAGGAUGAUCAGCCAGACUGGGACUGAGACACGGCCCAGACUCCUACGGGAGGCAGCAGUUAGGAAUUUUCCACAAUGGGGGCAACCCUGAUGGAGCAACGCCGCGUGCAGGAUGAAGGCCUUCGGGUUGUAAACUGCUUUUAUAUGUGACGAUUAUGACGGUAGCAUAUGAAUAAGGAUCGGCUAACUCCGUGCCAGCAGCCGCCGUAAAAC